RNAcentral lists this ribosomal RNA (478 nucleotides) under uncultured bacterium. RNAcentral's name for it is "partial 16S ribosomal RNA". It matches the Rfam family "Bacterial small subunit ribosomal RNA", at positions 28 to 507 of the family's 1533-position model. The record is from RNAcentral.
GAUGAACGCUGGCGGCGUGCCUAACACAUGCAAGUCGAACGGAGUCCAGCCUUUAAGACCUUCGGGUCAAAGAGGGGAAGACUGAGUGGCGGACGGGUGAGUAACACGUGGGCAACCUGGCUCAUAGAGGGGGAUAACAGAGAGAAAUUUCUGCUAAUACCGCAUAAGCACACACUGCCGCAUGGCAGAGGGUGAAAAGAGAAUCGCUAUGAGAUGGACCCGCGUCUGAUUAGCCAGUUGGCAGGGUAAGAGCCUACCAAAGCGACGAUCAGUAGCCGAUCUGAGAGGAUGAACGGCCACAUUGGGACUGAGACACGGCCCAAACUCCUACGGGAGGCAGCAGUGGGGGAUAUUGCACAAUGGGGGGAACCCUGAUGCAGCGACGCCGCGUGAGUGAAGAAGUAUUUCUGUAUGUAAAGCUCUAUCAGCAGGGAAGAUAAUGACAGUACCUGAAUAAGAAGCCCCGGCUAACUACGUG